CGUACUGAAAAUAUCAGUUAAGUCUAGCUGUUCUAUUUUAUCACCUAGGAUCUCUGUUGUCAGAUUGAUUUGCUGUCUAGAAGUUCUGUCUGUUAUUUGAGUGGGGUAUUGAAAUUUCCUACUGUUAUUUUGUAUAUUUUGAAUAACAGUCUUUUAUCAGAUGUCUUUUACCCUAUUGACUUUUUGUUUUGUUUCAAAAUUUGCCUUGUGUGCUGUCAAUAUUUAAAUGGAAAUUUCUUUCAGAAAAAGAGAUAAUCUUUAAGAGACACAUUACAUACUUUGAUUAUCUACUAAGCUGGGUGAGAAUGAAGACAUCCAUUAUAAGCAAUGUGACUAAAUGGGGAAGUAACAUUUUCUAGUUCAGUGACAAUAUAUUCUGAUGAAGUGUACCAGCACUUCUGAGACCAGCAAAGUUAAUGAUCCUCCUUGUGGGCAUAAUACAAACUUGCCAGAUGGCAGGGCUACAGCAAAUAUUACAGAAGAGAAAUUAUGAAAAUGAUAAGAACAUUUUUCCUUUCUUAAGCCAUAACUGUAUCUUAAAGAAUCUAAGGACCAACAUAUAAUUGGAUUAAUAUUUAGAUUAUUAGUGGGAAUGAGUUGUUGUUUGUUAAUGAUAGAAUAUGGGGCAGGAAGAGUUUUUUUCUUAACUUAGCUAUGCAUCCAAAUUUCUUAACUAAGGCGAACAAAACCAUUUCGUGUAACUUUUUUAUUUUUGCACAAGAGCCUUUUUUUUAUGAACCCCAUGUGUUUAUAGUUUGACAUUUUGUAACAGUGAUACAUAAUGACAAAGUAAAUGUUCCAAAAGAAUUAGUGUUUUAUUAGUUACAUGAAAUCUACAGACAUGUAGAAGAAGCAGACAAUACUUGUUUGACCUGGUAACACAGAAUCACAGAUCCAUUGCAAUCAUCUGCCUUUCCAGAGCUGGCAUAUGCAUACUCAAGGUUAAACAUGUACAAAGACAGUUUUAAGAGAAAAUUUUUUGAACUUCAAUAUGUACUUAUUUUUUAAAAUCAUCCUGUUUAGGAGGUACAGUAGUUGUCAGAUUGUUUUCUUUCUGCAAAUGCCCUUGUCCUACUUUAUAAAAGGAAGACAUUCUUCAAAUCCCUCCCUAGUUUUACUAUGACACACACACACACGGAAAAGGAACAAUUUACAAUUUGAAAAGUUGAUAAAGUGAAGAAUGUUAAUUAGUAAUAUUUUUUUUUUGUUAUAGAUAGUAGGAUAAGCAAUAAAGCUUAUGAAAAAAAAUUCAUACAGGUACUAGAAUCAAAGCAUGCUUAAGGAGGAAAGGAAAAUUGUAAAAUUUCUGACUGGUUUAAAAAGAAUUUAUUCAUGGUGUAUUUUUGAAAUGGAUGGUAGGUAUUCAAGUAUAUAACUUAAACCUAUUCAAACCCAUCCUGAAACUAUAGAUAGAAAUACUUAUUGAGCAAAUACAUGCUGAGAGAUGUGGAAGGGGCAGUGUUAGUUCUUAACUAUUGACUUUUGUUGCUCUUACAAGUGGUAAUGCUGCCCUGGCCUUGGGCUCUGCAAGCUGGGCUUCCGGCUACUUAUGGACGUAAUCAAGAGCCUGUUACACACAGCACAAUCCAUGGCAUAUUUCUAAUUGCAAUCAUCUUACAGAUCAUCAAUAUUCUUGGCUGUUGUAUAUGAGCCACUUGGCAUUUGGAAAGAAGGAAAUAAUUAUGAGAGGUAUAUAGAGGUCAUUGCUUUCAAACUUCUAAGGGAAAAAGACUGAUUCAUUAGAUUUUUCUAAGAAGAAAAUGGCCAUAGUCAAUACAUUUAGCCCACAUAUUUUAGGAGUUUGCUGUAUUUUCAGACCUGCCAGUUAGCCAAGGCAAAUGGCUUCUUUUUUUUUAAAGAAGAUUUUCUGUUGUUUAAAUUACAUAUUGUGCAGCCAGAGAUCAAUUUUUCAUGCAAUUAGGCCAGGGAAUUUGCCUUAUAUUUCUAAAUACCAAAGGUGCUGAUGUUAAGACAGAUCCAAUUAUUUGACAAUGGAAGAAAAUGCUAUGGCGAGAGAACAUUUGAAGCAGCAAAAUUUUCUUCAGCAUUCACAGUUGAAAUCUGACCCAAAUAUCCUACCUAAAAAAAAAAGUCCUAGCCAUCAAACUAGGACUAUGUUUGUCUGGGGCUUUUUAAAAUUUUGUGGAGGAGUGAGACAUAGAAAAAUAAAGAGCAAUCAGAUGCUUUUUGUGUGACUUAGUGUCCUGCACAGAAGCAAUCUUCCUGAUAGUUGAGUGUUUUCUGAGUAUAUGCUGGAAUGUUUCAAAGCCUUGUCUGAAUGUUAUAUUGGCAACAAAUGAAACUUGACUGAGUGUGGAUGUUUCUUCCUUGUGAGGUCUCAGAUGACAUGGAAUUCCAGUUGCUCGUCUAUUUAGACUAUCAAAUCCUACCUGACUUGAAUUUCACUUCUUAGAAAACUUGAACUUUUGCAUUCACUAUAAUUGAUACAUAGUUUUCCCCAAAGCAAGAACUCUUUUCUCCAUCUGGCAAAACACGAAUAACUUAUUUUAUAGCUCAGAAGAUGCUGAGCCUCAAGUGUUUCCUAAUGUAGUUCUCCAGGGUUAGUAAGAAAUAAAAAGAAAACCUAUCUGUAUUAACUCAAGUAUAGUGAUAACAAGGAUUUCAAUUAGUAGCAAGUUUCACUAAGUUAACACGAUAUAAUGUAAUUGGUGGAAUGGAAUGGCAAGUAAUCAUGUUACAAUAAAGACAACAGGAUGGGGGUAGGCAGAGAACUCAGGCAGUGUCAGGUCCCUGGUGGCAGAUUCAUUAGUUUUGUGGCUCCUGCCUGCAAGGAUGCAUGCUAAUGGGGCAACACCUGAGGACAUUAAUUAUAGUUGGCAAUAUUUGAGCAGCUAAUAUUCUCAUUUAUAUUGUCAAAUAAUAGGAUUGACUGAACCAAUUAAUUUUUGGAGUUUUCACACAAGGUUAAAAGAGGAUAAUUUUGGAAAUUAUACAUUUUCCCCACACUGAGGUAUUUCAGUUCUAUGAAAGAGCCAUUUCAGUGUUCAGAUCCCUGAUGCACUGAUAAGUAUGUAAAUUUCUCCUCAAAUAUAAGUAAUCAGCUUAAAAAAGUUCUACGGAAGUAAGUUUGAAUAAUAUGUUCGAUGUAUAUGGAGGUUCCCAGGCUAGGGGUCCAAUUGGAGCCAUAGCUGCUGGCCUACACCACAGCCACAGCAAUGCCAGAUCUGAGCCACUUCUGUGACCCACACCACAGCUCAUGGCAAUGCUGGAUCCUUAACCCACUGAGCGAGGCCAGGGAUCAAACCUGCAACCUCAUGGUUCCUAGUUGGAUUUGUUUCUUCUACACCACAACAGGAACUCCAAUUCUGUCACCUUUUAGAUUUACUGUAUUAACCUAAACAUAUAUUCUAAAUAAACCAAUAUUGAAUAUUUCUCUCAUUAGCUAUGUUUUCCCUCUAUUUGUCUGGACCAGAGGAAAGUAAAGUGUUGGGAAGUAUGUUGGUAGAAUUUUUUAACAUGUUCUCUCAAGAGUAGAUUGGUUCAGUGACCCCUGUUCACAGGCCUGACUGUGUGAAGCCAGGGAACCCAAAAAAUUGCAGGUAGAAGAAGUAGGUAGGCAUAGUUUAUAACGACUCAAGUCUCUUAAAAUUUUUACUUCAACAGUAUGAAAAUAGGCAUUUCUAAAACUAUUCUGUGAGAGUUAAAAGCAUUAUUCUUGGAAUUUUGUUAUCCCAAAGUCCAAAAAGGAUAUUUCUCCAAUGGUGUGAACUCUUUAUGUCUGCUUUGAUUUUAUACUAUAACUAAAUUGGAUUUAGCUCUAGUUUUUAAAAUUUGGAUAUUAAAACACAAGAUGUUUUUUAAAAAAUCAUCAUCAUGUGUUGAGAUCUUUGGCCAAAUAAAAAUUAUUCUUUAACAUGUAAGAAGAUAUAGUGAGUAGAUUAGGACAGUUGAAAAUACAAUUGAAAUCUGUAAGAUUCCAAAAUAUAGUAAAUAUUUAUUUAAUAAAUCAAAAUAUAACUAGGAUUUAAGACUUGAUACAUGAAAAACUAGUUUUGAGCUAAGGGAUAAGGAUUCACAUGAGUUUCCCAGACAUUGUGGAUGUAAACUACCAUAAAAGUGAUAGAUACAAUAUAUAAUACAUCAUAGAAGAGUUAAAAUAAGUGGAGAUCAAUAAAGAUGAUUAUCGAUGUAAAUUAAAAUGUCUGAUUUUCAACAUUAAACACUUAGUUUCUUCAUAAAAAAAGAUCAUGCUUUACCAAAUAAUCUUUGGUGCCAGCGCAGGUGGGAUAUUCCUCUACCCCAGAGGUAUUGCUUCAGCUUCUCUAAAAGGUAUUCCAAGGAAGGUGAAAUAAAGCACAGGGCGCUUAUUGAGUAAUCAGUGUGUCUGCCUCUUGAUAGAAAAUAGAAGUUACUGUCCACCAAGAGUCUCACAGUAUUUUAUCAUUCAGGUAUCUGAUACCCACCGUUAAUUCUGACAAUCAACAGAAGUGUCAGGAAAUAAUCUUCUUUCCAUAUUUGUCAGAAAUAGAAUCUAGGCAGUGUCCUUGAUGAUGCUAAUAUUUCAAUGGAAUGUUCUAUAUACUUAUCAGCUAGUUAGUUCAGAGUUCUUUAACUGGGUAUGUUCUAUUGGCCUAAGAGCUACCACAGAUAAUGUGUGUUUCCUGAGAGGCAAUAAAGCAUUGAGUGAUGGAGAGCAGUUUGUGUUGAUGGUGAUGGAGCUAGCAAAUACAGAAAGUAAUACAAGAUGAGGAAGGAAUAAAAGAAGAAAAUGCUCUUGCAUAUUCCAUUUGAGAUGUCUAUAAAUGAGAUGUCUAUAAAUGGAGAUAGUGGCAUUAUCCAGCAAACCAUGUCAGAGAACAAAGAGAAAAAAGAAAAGAAAUUCUCAUUUACUCUGAUUUUUAGAAUAUAAACACCCCGUGGGUAGGGGGGUUGUCUUUUUUCCAAUUUAAUAUAAUUUAUCACAUAAAACAGGGGUAAGCACUUAAUGAAUGUCAUUUUAAUUAGAAUUUAAUUUGACCGAGGAUGCUCAUAUUUCAAUUCCCAAGAUAAAAAUAGUUGGCCAUAAAAAUAUGCUUAUGGGGCAAUUUUUCAUUUAUGGGUGGAAAUGCAUAGGAAAUCAGCUCAUACAUGCUCAUUUUUUAUUAAUCAUAAAGAUCAAAAUGUUAAACAAUAGCGAACAAAGCUUUGGGGGGUGUUUUAUCAUCUUUGGAAUAAGUCCAAAUUGGUAUGAGGGGAUCCUAGGAGCUAACCAUCCAUCUAUCCAUCCACCUCAACAGACUUUAUUUUUUAGAGCCCUUUGAAGUUCAUAGCAAAAUUGAGUGUAAAGCACAGAAACUCCCAUAAAAUAUAUUUUAAAUGUCUUACUCUCAUUUUAAAAAAUCAAGUGCCACUGAUUGUCGUUUGUAGGCGGGAGAUGGUAGUGACAGGAAGGCAUCAGGAAAAAGACAUUGAUAACUGCUGGGAGAUGUCUAUGAGUGUGCUAGGGGACGGGUGCUUCUAUUCUAAUUUGAUAGAGAAAUAAAAGAGUGCACAUUCCCAAAGGCCUUCCAACAGGCAUGAACCUGGAGUUAUGGGGUCACAUUGAGGAGGAGGAGGAGUGAGGUUGGGAUGGGGAGCAAGAAACUGCCUGAAGACACUCAGGUUUUCCACUGUCCUGUGAUUCACACACCAUGAUCCAAUGGAUGUCUUCCACAAGGUUGAACCUCAGGGAAGAACUGAAGCCAAAGCUACAGAGAGUGGGUGUGAGAGAGAGUCCAUGCACAAGGGAGAAAGAAUGGAGACUGGGGGCUAUGGUGCCCACGGGAGCCUGGGAUGCCAUGUGAGUGAGCCUGAGCCAGCUGGGAGGCUGGCUGCAACUGCAUUUUAUGGUGCCCUCCCUAAAAUGCCAAGAAGGACUCUAUUCUGGAGAAUAAAAGCCAGGUCACAGGGACAGAGAAGGUGAGUCAGCAGCAAACUUGGAGCUCAAAGAAGGUCCUGUCCCUCCCCUGCUCACAAACUUCCCAUUGUUCCCCAGUGUCUUCAGAGAGAAAUUGGAUUCCUUCACAUGGUUGUUGACACCCUUGACGAUUUGGCCCCAACAGACCUUCCAGGAUCUAUAUCCUACUCCCUACUCAAGCUGAUUCCUCCCCCAGCUUACUUGCCCUGUAUUGCCUAACAUCCCCUAUAUUUUCUUCAUAUCUUUUUCCUGUAUCUGAAUGGUCCUUCCUCCAAUCUUCAACCAUCAUAUAAAUCUUCUCCGUGAACAAGCUCAAACACCACUUUGGGCCUUGAAACAAACUCUUCCAGCCAGAAAUACUUAAAAACAAAAACAAAAACAAAAAAACCCCCACUUUCUCUACAACUGCAGUAUCUGUACCUUUUGUAAAGCAUUCACCUGAGAAGGCCUCGUAUUUUAAUCAUUUGUACACGUCUUAGGUCCCUCUCCACCUAGAUUGCAAUUCUCUUGACAACUGGAAGCAAGUGCUCUUUCAUUUUGAAUCUUGGACCCAUGCUUCAAACAACAACUUAUCUAUGAAGAGCUUUGAAUACAUGCUUCUGAGACUAUUUUUUCAAUAUGUGAGAUGGAGAUCAUUAAAUUUGAAUGUGUUUCUUCUAAAAUGGUUCUCAAAUUCAGCACUUUUAAGAAUAACAAAAGAGCUAGUUGAUAUUCAGAAUCUACCAUUCUUCCUCCUAAAAUUCAGAUUUAGCAGAUCCAGGAGUAUGAAAAGAAGCAAACCCUUC
This 6681-nucleotide long non-coding RNA is filed under the name Sus scrofa (pig). RNAcentral's name for it is "lncRNA (ENSSSCG00030032085.1)". Lineage: Eukaryota; Metazoa; Chordata; Mammalia; Artiodactyla; Suidae. The record is from RNAcentral.